Molecule: ribosomal RNA, 253 nt
Filed under: uncultured bacterium
Lineage: Bacteria
Description: partial 16S ribosomal RNA
Rfam family: Bacterial small subunit ribosomal RNA
Source: RNAcentral
UACGAAGGGUGCAAGCGUUAAUCGGAAUUACUGGACGUAAAGCGUGCGCAGGCGGCUUUGCAAGACAGAUGUGAAAUCCCCGGGCUCAACCUGGGAACUGCAUUUGUGACUGCAAGGCUAGAGUACGGCAGAGGGGGAUGGAAUUCCGCGUGUAGCAGUGAAAUGCGUAGAUAUGCGGAGGAACACCAAUGGCGAAGGCAAUCCCCUGGGCCUGUACUGACGCUCAUGCACGAAAGCGUGGGGAGCAAACAGG